AUUGAACGCUGGCGGCGUGCCUAACACAUGCAAGUCGAGCGGUAACAGGUGUAGCAAUACAUGCUGACGAGCGGCGGACGGGUGAGUAACGCUUGGGAAUCUGCCUAUUAGUGGGGGACAACCCGGGGAAACUCGGGCUAAUACCGCAUACGCACUACGGUGGAAAGCCGGGGACCGCAAGGCCUGGCGCUAACAGAUGAGCCCAAGUCGGAUUAGCUAGUUGGUAGGGUAACGGCCACCAAGGCGACGAUCCGUAACUGGUCUGAGAGGACGACCAGUCACACCGGAACUGAGACACGGUCCGGACUCCUACGGGAGGCAGCAGUGGGGAAUAUUGGACAAUGGGCGAAAGCCUGAUCCAGCGACGCCGCGUGGGUGAAGAAGGCCUGCGGGUUGUAAAGCCCUUUCAGUGGGGAAGAAAAGCCUCGAGCUAACACCUCGGGGUCUUGACGUAACCCAUAGAAGAAGCACCGGCUAACUCUGUGCCAGCCGUCGCCGUAAU
Molecule: ribosomal RNA, 502 nt
Filed under: uncultured bacterium
Lineage: Bacteria
Description: bacterial SSU rRNA
Rfam family: Bacterial small subunit ribosomal RNA
Source: RNAcentral